GCCUAUGGUCCCACCACCCUGAAUGCACCCAAUCUCAUCUGAUCUUGGAAGCUAUCCGGGGCUGGUCCUGGUUAUUACCUGGACGGGAGACCGCCUGGGAAUACUAGGUGGCAUAGGCU
RNAcentral lists this ribosomal RNA (119 nucleotides) under Xenopus laevis (African clawed frog). Lineage: Eukaryota; Metazoa; Chordata; Amphibia; Anura; Pipidae. The record is from RNAcentral.